AGAGUUUGAUCCUGGCUCAGGAUUAACGUUGGUAGUAUGCCUAACACAUGCAAGUCGAGCGGAGAGUAGCAAUACUCUUAGCGGCGAACGGGUGAGUAAUGCUUAUCUUACUUGCCAAUUAGUGGGGGAUAACCAUGGGAAACUAUGGCUAAUACCGCAUUUGUUAAUUUAUUAAUAAGUAAAGUAAUGAAAGGAAGUCGUAAGACUUUCGCUAAUUGAUAGGGAUAAGUCGUAUUAGCUAGUUGGUAGGGUAAUGGCCUACCAAGGCAAUGAUGCGUAGCCAGCCUGAGAGGGUGAAUGGCCACAAGGGAACUGAGACACGGUCCCUACUCCUACGGGAGGCAGCAGUGAGGAAUUUUCGACAAUGGGGGCAACCCUGAUCGAGCAAUACUACGUGAAGGAGGAAGGUCUACGGAUUGUAAACUUCUGUUAGUGCGGAAGAAGGAUGAACGAAUGUUCAUCUUGACGGUACGCACAGAGAAAGCCACGACUAACUACGUGCCAGCAGUCGCGGUAAGACGUAGGUGGCGAACGUUAUCCGGAAUUACUGGGCGUAAAGGGUGCGUAGGUUGUCUGAUAAGUUAAUGGUGGCAAAUCGGGGCUCAACCUCGUGGAAGUUAUUAAUACUGUCGGACUUGAGUGCAGGAGAGGUUAACGGAACUCCAUGUGGAGCGGUAAAAUGCAUAGAUAUAUGGAAGAACACCAAUAACGGCGAAGGCAGUUAACUAUUCUGUUACUGACAUUGAGGCACGAAAGCGUGGGGAGCAAAAAGGAUUAGAUACCCCAGUAGUCC
Molecule: ribosomal RNA, 793 nt
Filed under: uncultured bacterium
Lineage: Bacteria
Description: bacterial SSU rRNA
Rfam family: Bacterial small subunit ribosomal RNA
Source: RNAcentral